AUGGCACAAGAGAAUGUCUCAUGCUUGUCUGGAGGAUGUUAAGAGGCUGCCAGGCUGCACCGAAGGAUGUAAAAUCACACCAUGUGAGGGAUCCCUAGUGUGCAGGGCAUGCAGCAAGGUUCAAAGGUGCAGGUUUCCCGGGGUAAAGAGGGUAACCACAAAACCUUUUGAGUUGAUUCACACAGAUCUGUCAGGACCCAUGAGGUGUGAGAGUCUGGGUGGGGCCAAGUAUGUGCUAUCGCUGACAGAUGACCACAGCCAGGUUGGCUGGUGUUUCUCUCUCAAAUCACAGGGGGAGGCGGCGCAACUGAUCCAGGAUUGGGUUGCGGAGGUGGAACGAAGGUUUUCCACCAGGGUGCAAGGGUUCAAGAGCGACCGAGGGUCACAGUUUACUGGGUCUGCUCUGGAGGAGUUUUUCAAGGAAAAAGGAAUACGUCACCACGUGACGGGUGCAAAGUCUCCUCAAGGGAGAGGCGUGGCACAGCACAGGAGUGAAACACUGGCUGAAGCUGUCAGAGUUUUGCUGGGUGACUCUGGGCUGCCUCAGAGCUUUUGGAGUGAAGCUUGGAAAGCUGCCAACUUUGUUUUUAACAGGUCCUACAAUCACGAUGUAGGUGACACACCGUAUUUUCUGUUGCACAAGAGGAAGCCACAGGUGCAUUUCUUCCGUUCGUUUGGUUCCAAGGCUUCAGUGCCAAUACCAACAGCGCAACGGAAGAAGGAUGGUCCUAGGUACCAGGACAUGAUCUUCUGUGGGUAUGAUCCUGCAACAAAUGGGUGGAAGUUUGCAUACCCAGAGGGUGAUCAGACCACGCUGCUGGUCAGCAAGCAUGCUGAGUUCUUUGAGCAGGAUGGUUGGUCACAGCCUAGGUAUGGUUCUGAUUUUCUCUCAGACUGCUUGUCCGAUUCUGAGGGGGAGG
Molecule: non-coding RNA, 920 nt
Organism: Podarcis lilfordi (Lilford's wall lizard)
Lineage: Eukaryota; Metazoa; Chordata; Lepidosauria; Squamata; Lacertidae
Source: the annotation of a GenBank genome assembly